RNAcentral lists this ribosomal RNA (429 nucleotides) under Bacteroidota bacterium. Its description in RNAcentral is "Bacteroidetes bacterium partial 16S ribosomal RNA". It matches the Rfam family "Bacterial small subunit ribosomal RNA", at positions 355 to 776 of the family's 1533-position model. The record is from RNAcentral. Lineage: Bacteria; Pseudomonadati; Bacteroidota.
UAGGGAAUCUUCCGCAAUGGACGCAAGUCUGAUGGAGCAACGCCGCGCGAGUGAAGAAGGAUUUCUGUUUGUAAAACUCUGUUGUUAGAGAAGAACAGCGCAUAGAGUAACUGUUAUGCGUGUGACGGUAUCUAACCAGAAAGCCACGGCUAACUACGUGCCAGCAGCCGCGGUAAUACGUAGGUGGCAAGCGUUGUCCGGAUCUAUUGGGCGUAAAGCGAGCGCAGGCGGUCAAUUAAGUCUGAUGUGAAAGCCCCCGGCUCAACCGGGGAGGGUCAUUGGAAACUGGUUGACUUGAGUGCAGAAGAGGAGGGUGGAAUUCCAUGUGUAGCGGUGAAAUGCGUAGAUAUAUGGAGGAACACCAGUGGCGAAGGCGACUCUCUGGUCUGUAACUGACGCUGAGGUUCGAAAGCGUGGGUAGCAAACAGG